Long non-coding RNA from Tympanuchus pallidicinctus (lesser prairie-chicken), 925 nucleotides. RefSeq lists it as uncharacterized. The record is from RefSeq and is a predicted model, not a curated record. The transcript is spliced from 2 exons. NCBI's taxonomy places the organism in Eukaryota, Metazoa, Chordata, Aves, Galliformes, Phasianidae.
AGCAUAUUCAUUCCUGAGAGCUCCAGACAUGGGACAGUUAUGAAAAGCUUUCUGCACAAAUGAAGCAAACGUGGCAUCCCACAGGGCAACCAAACGGCAGCUUCUGUCACAGUCUCAAAACCAACUGUACCUGAAUGGAGACUGGAAGGUGGCAGCAAAGGGGCAAUCUGACAGAAUGGUGUCUGACAUGGAAAUGUGGAUGAAGCAAAGGUAUGUCAUUGAACUCCUCCAUGCAGAAAAAAAAUGGUACCUAUUGAUAUUCACUGACACUUGUUGAACGUUUAUGGAGACCAAACAGUGGAUGUGCACACAGUAAGGCAGUGUGUGAUACGUUUCAGCAGUGCCAACUGCAGUAUGAAGGACAAGCCAUGUUCUGGAUGGCCACUCCAUCAAAGAAAAAGUUCAAGACGCAGCCUCUAGGUAAAGUGAUACAGACUGUGUUAUGGGAUAGGAAAGGGAUGAUCCUACUGGAUUUCCUGGAAUCCAGACAAACCAUCAAUUUUGACCACUACAUUGUGACACUGACUAAACUGAAGGCUUGAACUUCCAGAGUUAGACCAGAGAAUAGGACAAUCUUUCUCUUGCAACACUGUAACACCAGGCCCCAUGCCAGUUUGAAGACUUUGGAGCACACUUCAAGUAUUCUUUAGAUCAUCCUAACACAUCUACUGUACAGUCCAGAUUUGGCGCCUUCUGACUUCCACCGGUUUGAACCAAUGAAAGAUGGACUGCAUGAGAAACAUUUUCCUAGCAACAACAUCAUCAUAGCAGCUGUGGAACAUUGGGUCACCUCUGCUGUUAGAGACUUUCACAAGCACAGCAUGCAGGACCUUGCACAGCUAGUGGUGGUGACUAUUUGCUCCUUCAAAUAGUGUUAUUGUGUUCUUUGUAGCUGUUGUGGCUUCCAUAAAACUAAAAAAAAACC